CCUACGGGAGGCAGCAGUGGGGAAUUUUGGACAAUGGGCGAAAGCCUGAUCCAGCAAUGCCGCGUGCAGGAAGAAGGCCUUCGGGUUGUAAACUGCUUUUGUACGGAACGAAACGGUCUGCUUUAAUACAGUGGGCUAAUGACGGUACCGUAAGAAUAAGCACCGGCUAACUACGUGCCAGCAGCCGCGGUAAUACGUAGGGUGCGAGCGUUAAUCGGAAUUACUGGGCGUAAAGCGUGCGCAGGCGGUUAUAUAAGACAGUUGUGAAAUCCCCGGGCUCAACCUGGGAAUUGCAUCUGUGACUGUAUAGCUAGAGUACGGUAGAGGGGGAUGGAAUUCCGCGUGUAGCAGUGAAAUGCGUAGAUAUGCGGAGGAACACCGAUGGCGAAGGCAAUCCCCUGGACCUGUACUGACGCUCAUGCACGAAAGCGUGGGGAGCAAACAGGAUUAGAUACCCUGGUAGUCCACGCCCUAAACGAUGUCAACUGGUUGUUGGGUGCAUUAGUACUCAGUAACGAAGCUAACGCGUGAAGUUGACCGCCUGGGGAGUACGGCGCAAGGUUGAAACUCAAAGGAAUUGACGGCUGAGACGAGCGACGACGACGACGAGGGAGGAGG
This 618-nucleotide ribosomal RNA is filed under the name uncultured bacterium. Its description in RNAcentral is "bacterial SSU rRNA". It matches the Rfam family "Bacterial small subunit ribosomal RNA", at positions 338 to 953 of the family's 1533-position model. The record is from RNAcentral.